UACAGAGGGUGCAAGCGUUGUUCGGAAUUAUUGGGCGUAAAGCGCGUGUAGGCGGCUUUGUAAGUUGGGUGUGAAAGCCCUCGGCUCAACCGAGGAAGUGCGCCCAAAACUGUGAAGCUUGAGUGCCGGAGAGGAUGGCGGAAUUCCCCAAGUAGAGGUGAAAUUCGUAGAUAUGGGGAGGAACACCGGUGGCGAAGGCGGCCAUCUGGACGGCUAUUGACGCUGAGACGCGAAAGCAUGGGGAGCAAACAGG
RNAcentral lists this ribosomal RNA (253 nucleotides) under uncultured bacterium. RNAcentral describes it as "partial 16S ribosomal RNA". It matches the Rfam family "Bacterial small subunit ribosomal RNA", at positions 524 to 776 of the family's 1533-position model. The record is from RNAcentral.